AUUGAACGCUGGCGGCAGGCCUAACACAUGCAAGUCGAACGGUAGCACAGAGAGCUUGCUCUCGGGUGACGAGUGGCGGACGGGUGAGUAAUGUCUGGGAAACUGCCUGAUGGAGGGAGAUAACUACUGGAAACGGUAGCUAAUACCGCAUAACGUCGCAAGACCAAAGAGGGGGACCUUCGGGCCUCUUGCCAUCAGAUGUGCCCAGAUGGGAUUAGCUAGUAGGCGGGGUAAUGGCCCACCUAGGCGACGAUCCCUAGCUGGUCUGAGAGGAUGACCAGCCACACUGGAACUGAGACACGGUCCAGACUCCUACGGGAGGCAGCAGUGGGGAAUAUUGCACAAUGGGCGCAAGCCUGAUGCAGCCAUGCCGCGUGUGUGAAGAAGGCCUUCGGGUUGUAAAGCACUUUCAGCGGGGAGGAAGGCGGUACGGUUAAUAACCGUGCCGAUUGACGUUACCCGCAGAAGAAGCACCGGCUAACUCCGUGCCAGCCGCCGCAGUAA
This 504-nucleotide ribosomal RNA is filed under the name uncultured bacterium. RNAcentral describes it as "partial 16S ribosomal RNA". It matches the Rfam family "Bacterial small subunit ribosomal RNA", at positions 29 to 523 of the family's 1533-position model. The record is from RNAcentral.